RNAcentral lists this unclassified non-coding RNA (263 nucleotides) under plant metagenome. RNAcentral's name for it is "partial contains small subunit ribosomal RNA, internal transcribed spacer 1, and 5.8S ribosomal RNA". The record is from RNAcentral.
UUUCCGUAGGUGAACCUGCGGAAGGAUCAUUAUUGUAUAACCGAGGUGCGAGGGCUGUCGCUGACCCGAAAGGUCGUGCACGCCCGAGUGCCCUCACCCACAUCCAUCUCACCCCUAUGUGCACCACCGCGUGGGUCCCCCUUUGGCGUGUUCGGAGGGGGGCUUACGUGUUCACACAAACUUUGUAUGCAGUGUAGAAUGUAUUUUUUGUUUUUGCGAUCACGCAAUCAAUACAACUUUCAACAACGGAUCUCUUGGCUCUC